ACUGCUCAGUAACACGUGGACAACCUGCCCUUAGGUUGGGUAUAAACCCGGAAACUGGGUAUAAUACCCGAUAGGUCUCGAUUGCUGGAAUGCAUCGAGAUUUAAAGCUCCGGCGCCUAAGGAUGGGUCUGCGGCCUAUCAGGUAGUAGUGGGUGUAGCGUACCUACUAGCCUACGACGGGUACGGGUUGUGAGAGCAAGAGCCCGGAGAUGGAUUCUGAGACACGAAUCCAGGCCCUACGGGGUGCAGCAGGCGCGAAAACUUUACAAUGCUGGCAACAGCGAUAAGGGAACCUCGAGUGCCAGGUUACAAAUCUGGCUGUCGAGAUGCCUAAAAAGCAUUUCAUAGCAAGGGCCGGGCAAGACCGGUGCCAGCCGCCGCGGUAACACCGGCGGCUCGAGUGGUAACCGUUAUUAUUGGGUCUAAAGGGUCUGUAGCCGGCCGGAUAAGUCUCUUGAGAAAUCUGGCAGCUUAACUGUCAGGCUUUCAGGAGAUACUGUCUGGCUCGAGGCCGGGAGAGGUGAGAGGUACUUCAGGGGUAGGGGUGAAAUCUUGUAAUCCUUGAAGGACCACCAGUGGCGAAGGCGUCUCACCAGAACGGACCUGACGGCAAGGGACGAAAGCUAGGGGCACGAACCGGAUUAGAUACCCGGGUAGUCCUAGCCGUAAACGAUACUCGCUAGGUGUCGGCCACGGUGCGACCGUUGUCGGUGCCGUAGGGAAGCCGUGAAGCGAGCCACCUGGGAAGUACGGCCGCAAGGCUGAAACUUAAAGGAAUUGGCGGGGGAGCAC
This 792-nucleotide ribosomal RNA is filed under the name uncultured archaeon. Its description in RNAcentral is "bacterial SSU rRNA". It matches the Rfam family "Archaeal small subunit ribosomal RNA", at positions 85 to 879 of the family's 1478-position model. The record is from RNAcentral.